Molecule: long non-coding RNA, 1729 nt
Organism: Sus scrofa (pig)
Lineage: Eukaryota; Metazoa; Chordata; Mammalia; Artiodactyla; Suidae
Source: RefSeq, a predicted model, not a curated record
CCAGAAUCCUCUGCGCCUGGCCCCGCCCCCAAGGAGCCUGCUCCAGCCUCGCACCUGCCUCGCACGCCAGGAGCCGACGCCAGACGGAAUAAAACCACAGCCUGCUACCCAGCCUGCCCACCAGUACGUCAAAUCCUGCCUCGCCAGCAGCGGGGCCUUGGUACUGCCCGCUAGCAGGCCACACACGUUCGAGACACCCCGGACCUGGUACCCAACCGUGUCAGGAAUUGGCCGCCCCCACCCCCUCCGCCCAGGUAUCCCACACCAGCCCUGGGACCGCUGGGCCCAGCAACUAGAUUCCCGAACCUGGCUCUGCCCUCCAGUAAGCAGCUCUGACCCAGGGCCUGGCUUCCCCCAACAGCCCCGAGUCUCCUGGACCCUGACUCCACCCAUGGGUGAGGCAGCACAGGCUCCGGGCCCCCUGAGAUCCGCCCUCAGUGCUUUGUGACCUGCUCUGCCAACCAGCGGCUGCAGCCUCCACGCAAGACAGGGCCUGGCUACCAACCAAGCCUACCAGACGGCCCUCAGGAUCCACACAGCCGUCUGAGGGGCCCCUAGAGCAUACGCCUCCGGUGACAAGAGGGCGGUGCACUGCUGGGUCGUCUCCUACCAAAGGCCGCUUCUCCGAGAUCCAGAAACAGAACCAACCUACCAGUUAUAUAAAAAUACAAACAGCCAUUUAGACAAAAACGAGGCGGCAGAGGAACACGUUCCAGACAAAAGAACAAGAUAACACCCCAGAAGAACCUAGUGACGUGGAGGCAGGCAGUCUACCCGAGAAUGGGUUCAGGGUGGUGGCGGUAAAGCUGACCCAAGAACUGGGGAGAAGAAUGGAUGCACAGUGCCAGCAAUUAAAAGAUACUAACAAAGAGAAAAUACAAAGAACAAGCCAGGCUGAGUACAAUAUCUGAAAUGAAAAAUCCACCAGGAAACCCUGAAACACCCUGAUAGGAGCAGUGGAAGCAAAGGUUCAGAAUGCCUUUAUGUUUAUAUUUAAACGUGUUAAAAUUAUCCUAUACAAAUGUGCUCAAAGGACAUGGUACCCAGAAAUGUGCCGCCUGGAUAUGUCCACUCAUAGUCCACAAAACAUGAUGUGUCAAGAGUGUGGCUUCUCACCUACCAGCUGUGUGAUCUUGGAUAAUACCAGAAGAUUUCAGCAUAGCAGAUAAAAUACAGCAAAUUCUAACCAGCAAAGGUUUUUGUGACAAGUGAGCCCAUUCCAAGAACAUAGAUGACUUCAUCAGGUGACCCCCGUCCCAUAGCAGCACCUGAAGGGCCACAGGAGGAAGAGCUCCCACUGACUGUGGGCCUGAAGAUGCAUCCAGGUACUUUGUACCUCUGUGGAUCCAGCUAUUGGAGGUUCAGUCCUGGGAGUAAUGACUGGAAUGAAUGUGAACAGAAGAGCUAUUCCUUAGGAGCCACAUGUGGGCCUCUGCAGAGAUCUGGACCAGCAGGGGCAUCCUUCCAGCAGUGGGACAGGGCCUGGACUGAACCACUCCUGGGCAGAAAGGUCACAGACUCGUGACUGAAGGAGCAGCCAUCCCCACCCAGAGCCCAUGGAUGAGAUGAGAUGAUUCAGUUCGCUAGCUCUUUCUCUUCCUGGUGUUUAAAAACAGAACUUAUCUCUUUGGACUGAAUAAACCUACUGGAGAUCGAGCUGUGGCUCAGUGGAUUAAGAACCCAAUAUAGUGUCCAUGAGAAUGCGGGUACAAUCCCUGGCCUCACUCAG